AAGUGCUCAGGAUAUUCUUCUGAAAAGGAAAACCACAGACGAUGAUAGCUCCGACGAAGAAGAGGAGGAUGAUUCCUUGGUAACAAGGCCAAGAGUUGGGAGACGUAUCGUCUUUAACGAAGCUAAAGUUUCUCAUCACCUUUCUCCUAUAGGGCCUGUUAAUCUUGUCUCUGUACAAAUUCUAAACCGUGGUGAUGUAUAUCUGACUUGAGAAGUUGAAAAAUGGAAAUCCUAUCGCUCUGUGCCUGAUGCUUAUGUAAUCAGCUUAGUUUAGAUUAAUUUCACUUUAAUAGCUAAAUGUUGUAACUGAACUGGACUGUAUGAAAUUUUUCGGACUUGCUGUAGUUAAUUUGAUUGGUUAUUUUCGUGUGC
Nicotiana attenuata is the source of this 372-nucleotide long non-coding RNA. RefSeq lists it as uncharacterized. Lineage: Eukaryota; Viridiplantae; Streptophyta; Magnoliopsida; Solanales; Solanaceae. The transcript is spliced from 2 exons. The record is from RefSeq and is a predicted model, not a curated record.